CGUUAUGGUGGGCACUCUAAGGAGACUGCCGGUGACAAACCGGAGGAAGGUGGGGAUGACGUCAAGUCAUCAUGGCCCUUACGGCCUGGGCUACACACGUGCUACAAUGGUCGGUACAAAGGGUUGCCAAGCCGCGAGGUGGAGCUAAUCCCAUAAAACCGAUCGUAGUCCGGAUCGCAGUCUGCAACUCGACUGCGUGAAGUCGGAAUCGCUAGUAAUCGUGAAUCAGAAUGUCACGGUGAAUACGUUCCCGGGCCUU
This 259-nucleotide ribosomal RNA is filed under the name uncultured Pseudomonas sp. RNAcentral describes it as "partial 16S ribosomal RNA". It matches the Rfam family "Bacterial small subunit ribosomal RNA", at positions 1124 to 1382 of the family's 1533-position model. Lineage: Bacteria; Pseudomonadati; Pseudomonadota; Gammaproteobacteria; Pseudomonadales; Pseudomonadaceae. The record is from RNAcentral.